This 329-nucleotide unclassified non-coding RNA is filed under the name soil metagenome. RNAcentral's name for it is "partial contains 5.8S ribosomal RNA, internal transcribed spacer 2, and large subunit ribosomal RNA". The stretch from base 1 to 120 matches the Rfam family "5.8S ribosomal RNA", at positions 35 to 154 of the family's 154-position model. The record is from RNAcentral.
GAUGAAGAACGUAGCGAAAUGCGAUAAGUAAUGUGAAUUGCAGAAUUCAGUGAAUCAUCGAAUCUUUGAACGCACAUUGCGCCCCUUGGUAUUCCGAGGGGCAUGCCUGUUCGAGCGUCAUUAUAACCCCUCAAGCUCAGCUUGGUGUUGGGGCCUGCUGCACUGGCAGCCCUUAAAAUCAGUGGCGGCGCCAUCUGGCUCUAAGCGUAGUAAUUCUUCUCGCUAUGGAGUCCUGGUGGAUGCGUGCCAUCAACCCCCAAUUUUUCUAUGGUUGACCUCGGAUCAGGUAGGGAUACCCGCUGAACUUAUGCAUAUCAAUAAGCGGAGGA